AGCAAAUCAUGGAAAUAAGAAAAUCAGAAUGGAUUAUUUCAGGCAUGAGAAAUAUUUUACCAACAUUUACAUUUGCUAUAGAGACAGUUUCUAUUGGGUGGUACUUCUAGGAAUUUUGAUACUGACAGCACCUUCAAACAUGACAAAGAUGUGACUGAGGUACUUGUAUGUUUGUGGAAUUAACAUCUGAGCUGGUGUUGCUAUCAAACCUGCAUUGUUUACCACAGUGAUAUCUCUCUUCUAAAAAAGAAAAGAGAGAAACAGACGAACUCCCCAGAAACUUCUUUGUAGCUGUAGAUUAAUCAUCUGCUUGAUUAAAAAAUGUGAGAUGAGUUCCAUUUCCCAUCGCUUGUCCUGUUUCCCUCCAUUAAAAAUAGUAGGUAUUUGAGCUAACUUCUCUGAGCACAUCAUUUUCACAGCUUCUCUGUAAAAUGGUAGUGAUUUCCCUGGUGACUUCGUAAAUUGUGUUUUAUUGUUUAUUUCUAUUUAUGUCAAAGAAAGAUAAUGUGAAAGUAUCAAAACUUGCUAAACGUAAUAUAUAGAUAAAUGUUGGUAAUUA
Molecule: long non-coding RNA, 559 nt
Organism: Piliocolobus tephrosceles (Ugandan red Colobus)
Lineage: Eukaryota; Metazoa; Chordata; Mammalia; Primates; Cercopithecidae
Exons: 2
Source: RefSeq, a predicted model, not a curated record